This 718-nucleotide unclassified non-coding RNA is filed under the name Hevea brasiliensis (rubber tree). Lineage: Eukaryota; Viridiplantae; Streptophyta; Magnoliopsida; Malpighiales; Euphorbiaceae. The record is from RNAcentral.
CUCAAUAACUAAAGUGUAAUAUAAAGCAAAACUCAUGGACUAAAUAAUUUAAUUUUCAAAAUUUAAGAACUAAUGUGUAAUAUUAAGAAAAAUUCAAGGGCUAAAUUGUAAUUUCGCUUAUUUUUUUUUCAAACCACCGAAAAUCUUCACCUCAUCAUCUCUGCUCUCAAACCCACCGCCACCGCAACUCUGUCCACGCUAGUGCUUCAUCUAGUCCAAUCCCAUACAAAAAACAGCUCUCUCCAUCGCAAUCCAUAAACAAUUCGUUCCUCAUUGUAGCUUCUCACCACUGCAAUAGUUCUUCAUCUCCAUCAGCGUCAAAAAACUGCUCCAGCUCUCUCCAUCACAAGCACCAAGAGACCCAGUUGGCGGCGUUCCACUCCAGCAACACCAAAUUCAGAGUUCCCCAGUGGAAGAGUAUUUCAGCAGCACUUGGUUUCAGUAGACCAGAGCCGUAGCACCUUCAAAUCUUUACCUCAGUUUCAUUUUGGUGGAUUUGAGUAACAAUUAAAAUUUGAAGUUGAAUCAAUGAAAGUUGUUAAGAUUGGAUGUCUUUGGGUGUUCUAAAUCUAUUUAUAAUUUUGGUUAAUUGGUCUUGAAAUUUUUGGGUGAAUGAAGAUUCUUCUAUUUGGGUAUGAGAUUUGAUAUAUGGUAGUUGAGCAAUCUGUUGUUUGGAGGAAAAUGUUUUUGCGAGUGCAGGUUACUAAAUCGACUGGAG